This is a long non-coding RNA of Cyprinus carpio carpio, 1064 nucleotides long. The record is from Ensembl. Lineage: Eukaryota; Metazoa; Chordata; Actinopteri; Cypriniformes; Cyprinidae.
UAUAACGAAGAGCACUUUUUAAAAGUGUACUUAAGUGUAUUAAGAAACAGUAAUGAAAUUCUCUCUCUUUAAGUGCACUUAAGUGAACUAUUAUUUCAUUAAUAUUAUAUUAUCUGCAGGUACAGUUUUUUGAGAUUACUUUAAAUAUUUAAAUAAAACAAGAAGUGCACAUUCAAUACAUUUAAACACUUUUUUCAUAAGGAUUGAACUAAAUGAGUGAACUGAUAAGUGAGGAGCAAUUCAGAUGCAGGUGGCAUUUCUAAAAACCUAAUUCUUGAACGUAUUUGAUUGGAGAAAGUUUACCUUUAACAUUAAAAAUGUUGUGAAUCGUGUCCACUUUUAGAAUUGCACUUGCAUUUAGAUGAUCUUCAAGCUAAUAGACAGAAACCUUGGAUGGAAACAGCUUUUGGCUUGUGCUAUAAUGGUUACACCAGUCAAAGAAAAGCCAAAUAACCUUUUAACACGUUACUCUGAAACUCGAAGACAUUAACAUGUCAUCUGAGAUGCCUGAGUCUCCCAGCAAUGGAAAGGUGGAACCAGGCAGCCUCUAAUUGCUCUGCGUUACUGCCAAUCCAAUGCAGACGAACCCCGAGUGGAGUUGUGCGUCACCUCGAUCCCAGGGCCCCUCGAAGGAGAAACCGGCUGCAACAGGAGAGGCCGGCUUCCUCUGUAAUCUCGGCUAGCUUGCUCUGUGGUUGUCAUACAAUCCCACAGGUCACGGCUGGGGCAGGGCAGGGUGUCACGAGGCCGUUCCCCAUGGCCACUGGCUGUUUUAAGUGACAGGCCAUCAGCGCUGAGGUCACUGGGUGAAAUGAGAGGUGCAACCAAGGCUGAGUGUAAGACUUCACAGAAAGCCACACAAUGAUCCCAGUGCAGUGUGAGGGGAAUAAGAUACAUUGAGAUGGACUCGUAACGUGACAUAUUCGAAAAGAGUGGCAUUAAACCAGAUUUACAUUGAGUGCUUUGAGAACAUCUGAGUGGUGCUUGAACGUGUGAAACUCAUCAGCAUGACUCCUUGAUGUACUUAUUACUGAAAUAAUAUACUUUAAAAGAUAACACUCAAG